Molecule: long non-coding RNA, 1311 nt
Organism: Vigna radiata var. radiata (mung bean)
Lineage: Eukaryota; Viridiplantae; Streptophyta; Magnoliopsida; Fabales; Fabaceae
Exons: 8
Source: RefSeq, a predicted model, not a curated record
UAUUUUAAAAAUUAAAAACACUCCCUUCUGGAAUUUUUCGCGGGGUAUCCUGUCUGCUCAUUCUAUCUUGUCUUCUCCUUUCGGUUCUCUUUGCUUCUCAUGUCAUUAGGUUCUUCUUUCUUCUCCUUCCCUGUUAUCUCCUUUCCUUCUCAUUAUCUCUGGGUUCUUCUCGUUCACGUUUGCCACUAUGCUAUCGCUUAGACCCGAAACCCUACCCUUGUCAGUGCGCUNGCUAGGGUUUCAUUUCACCUUCUCCGAACAAUGUCGCUCCCGCAUGCUCAAUUGAAACCAAUUGCAUCACUCAGAAAUUCGGUGGAGCCAAUUCCCUAGAAGAUGAUAUGAAAUCGUGCUCGCGGACCAAGCCUCUUCUUCUGCCCUUUCCGAUGCUUCUCCACCACCACGCCGUCAUCGUUCUCUUCGAUGUUUUCAAAAUCCAAAACAACUUUCGCGAGCACGAAGGCUCUGAUGACUCACUCGGAUACCCUAAAAGUGUGACAAACUAGUUUGGAGGGACAAAGGAUCUCUGCCGAAUUAUGGAGAUUUCCUAAUAGAACUACAAAUGUUGGGCAAAUGAUAUAUGCUUAUCUUAGUAACACAUCUUAGUUGGAUGGGAAAAAAGUCUUUGUCUCGACAGGUCGUACAUCCAUCAAGAUAUACUACUAUGUGCAUGUACGCAAACGUUCAAAUAGGCUUCAUGAUGAACUUUCCUUCAAGAUAGGCAAUAUCAUUUGCAAAUCUUUUCUUGGUUGAUAUCUUAACUUCCAUGGCAAAGGUGUUUUCUGAUUUGGAACAUUCAGUAAGUAGAAUGGUCCACCGACAGGUUGCCAUAAUUGCUUGGUUGGAAGCUGAUUUUGUUUGUGGCAACCACUUGUCGCUUGCCUUAUCUUUUCUGCGUAAACCAAUGCCUCUUAUAACAGAGUUGAAAGAUGUAAUUCAAGAGAUGAAGUCACUCAAACUAGAAAAGCUUAAGAAGCCCGUGACUUAGUGAGAAUUCUUAUUUUUUAAUCAGUGUCCAAAAUUACUCAACGACAAUGAUUGUGGAUAUUACUUGUGUCGAUAUAUGAUGAAAAUUAUCACAUACUGUGAAGGAGGGACAAUUCCAAUUAAUUCCUUUUCUAGUUGCAGAUGUCAAUCAUUUCGUGACAAUCAAAUAAUUAAAGUUAGAGAAUAUUGGUGUUUAUUUGUAACUAAUACAUCUUAUAUGUUAUGUUAUGAUGAUGUACAUGCCUAUAAGUACAAAUAGGAUAUACAUGCUAUGAUUGUAUAUAUUGUUUUAUGAUGUCAUGACAUGUACUAGAUGACUCGACAAUA